GUGAGAAAAUCACUUCGGCAGCACAAAUACUAAGACUAGGAUGACACAGAGAUAAGCAUGGUCCCUGUGCAAGGAUGACAUGCAAAUUCAUAAAGAAAGUCAUUGUUUUU
Phodopus roborovskii (desert hamster) is the source of this 110-nucleotide small nuclear RNA. NCBI's taxonomy places the organism in Eukaryota, Metazoa, Chordata, Mammalia, Rodentia, Cricetidae. The record is from RefSeq and is a predicted model, not a curated record.